GGUGGCUCAGUGGAAGAGCACUUGCCUUGCAUGCAUGAGGCCCUGGGUUCGAUUCCUCAGCACCA
Non-coding RNA from Dipodomys ordii (Ord's kangaroo rat), 65 nucleotides. The record is from Rfam. Lineage: Eukaryota; Metazoa; Chordata; Mammalia; Rodentia; Heteromyidae.